ACUCCUACGGGAGGCAGCAGUGGGGAAUAUUGCACAAUGGGGGAAACCCCUGAUGCAGCCAUGCCGCGUGUGUGAAGAAGGCCUUCGGGUUGUAAAGCACUUUCAGUAGGGAGGAAGGUAGUGUAGUUAAACACCUGCAUUUAUUUUGAACGUUACCCUACAGAAAGAAGCACCGGCUAACUCCGUGCCAGCAGCCGCGGUAAUACGGAGGGUGCGAGCGUUAAUCGGAAUUACUGGGCGUAAAGCGCAUGCAGGCGGCCUGUUAAGUCAGAUGUGAAAGCCCGGGGCUUAACCUCGGAAUUGCAUUUGAAACUGGCAGGCUAGAGUCUUGUAGAGGGGGUAGAAUUUCAGGUGUAGCGGUGAAAUGCGUAGAGAUCUGAAGGAAUACCAGUGGCGAAGGCGGCCCCCUGGACAAAGACUGACGCUCAGA
Molecule: ribosomal RNA, 430 nt
Filed under: uncultured bacterium
Lineage: Bacteria
Description: bacterial SSU rRNA
Rfam family: Bacterial small subunit ribosomal RNA
Source: RNAcentral